AGAUUAAGUUAUUAAGGGCGCACGGUGAAUGCCUUGGCACUAGAAGCCGAUGAAGGACGUUACUAACGACGAUAUGCUUUGGUGAGCUGUAAGUAAGCUGUGAUCCAGAGAUUUCCGAAUGGGGGAACCCAGCACGAGUUAUGUCGUGUUAUCCAUGCGUGA
Molecule: ribosomal RNA, 162 nt
Filed under: Staphylococcus canis
Lineage: Bacteria; Bacillati; Bacillota; Bacilli; Caryophanales; Staphylococcaceae
Description: partial 23S ribosomal RNA
Rfam family: Bacterial large subunit ribosomal RNA
Source: RNAcentral